UCCAGGCUCAUGGAUAGGAAGAAUCAAUAUCAUGAAAAUGAAAAUGGUCAUACUGCCCAAAGUAAUGUAUAGAUUCAGUGUUAUUCCCACUAAACUACCAUUGACAGUAUUCACAGAAU
This is a long non-coding RNA of Sapajus apella (tufted capuchin), 119 nucleotides long. RefSeq lists it as uncharacterized. The transcript has 2 exons. Lineage: Eukaryota; Metazoa; Chordata; Mammalia; Primates; Cebidae. The record is from RefSeq and is a predicted model, not a curated record.